Long non-coding RNA from Pseudopipra pipra, 2102 nucleotides. RefSeq lists it as uncharacterized. The record is from RefSeq and is a predicted model, not a curated record. The transcript has 2 exons. NCBI's taxonomy places the organism in Eukaryota, Metazoa, Chordata, Aves, Passeriformes, Pipridae.
CUAGAUGUCAUUGGAUCAGUGUGUAAAAUUUUAGGAGAGAUAUGUGGAAGCCUAAAGCAACUCCAGACUAUCACGGAUGCAGGUGAGAGACACACUACCUUGAUCCUGACAAAGUCAAUGAAGAAAUAAUCGCAAGAUGAAUGCAUUUUUAGAGGACAAUGGUACAUAUAAAGAAUAAGGAAACAAUAUGAAAAGCAAGAGCUUAUGCCUGAAACUUGAAGUAUUCCUAGAUGAUGACUAAUUCUAAUACUAUUACAGAUUUACUUCUGAGAGCUUCCUUCUCCUAAUAUUGGCCAUGUUUCAUCUGCCAUAUCUGAGAUCACAUAUCUGUGGACUGGAUGACACAGACAAAACAAGGACCCAGCAUUCUCCCAUCUGUCCACAGUUCCCAGAUGAAGAACUAUGAUCACAGAGUCCCUCUCUAGUCAUUAAGGAGAAAAAGAGAUGCACAUCUGGAUAAUGGUGGUGAUAUGAGAGGAAUUGUGCUCUCUAAGUCCUGCAUCUUAUUGUUGGCCAUGCACAGAAUCUACAGUUCCUUUUAACUCCAUAGUUAAAUGUUUGAAGUUUGAUGGAUAACUUGAGGUUUUGUAGUGUUUCACUACUGUUGCUACUUAUUGUCAGCUUAUGAAACAAUUGUUUUCUAAUUACUUUGAUAGAAAUGAUAAAAAUGAAGGCUGGUAUAAAAUAUAAAGCACUAUCUCAUAGUUACUGGCUGGAAUAGUUUUUGACAUGUUUAAGUUUCCAUCUGUGUGUUUACAUAGUGUAAAACAUGAAAUGGAAAUAUGAGUGUACUAAAAAUCAUUCAAAAAAAUGAUUUACAAACUCAUCUGGGAUACAUAUGUAUGUGUGUAUAUAUACAUUUAUAUAUAUAUAUAUAUAUAUAUAUAUAUACAUAUAUAUAUAUAUAUAUAUACACACACCAGAGUUCCUGGAGUGGAAAUACUUGCUAGGUUAGGAGCUUUCAGUGGUGUUAAUUGCAGUGGUCCUGCAAUACAUCACCAUCAUUGAUGCUGAGAAAAUUCUCCCCAGGCACAGUGAGGGUCAAUAUUUGAUACUGAUACGUUUAAUUUAUACUUUCUUAGGUCACUUUUAUUUCAGUUUGAAAGUAUAAUCAAAAUUUAGGUUAGUUUUUCUAGUGCCAUGAACUGUUAGGAGGUAGAUUUAUGAAAAUGGCAGGCUUUUUAAAAUACAAAACUUGGUCAAAAGAGAUUUGUUACCUCAGAAAGCUUUUCAAGUCAUAAGUAAUUGCCCACUACCCCUCUGAAGAAGGUUUAUAGGAAAAUGUACAACCUCCUCCUUAUAUAAAUGAAAAAAGACUGAGAUAGAAAUGAAGUGAUUUCCACAGGGCCAUAAACUGCAAUUGGAAUCAAGAUUAUUACUGAGUAGUUUGUGAUUCCUGCCUGAUACCUGGGCUGUAACAGUGCUUGCAGAGUCUCCCGUGCCUGUCUGUCACUCCUGGAAUUACUGGCCCUGGGAGCUAUUUCUCCAUGAAUGAUGAUCAUAGUUUACAGCUCCAGCUUAUUCAGAAACAAGUUUUGUGGACGAGUUCCCUUUUUUUAAUCUGUCCAACAUUUCACUUCUAGAUAUAAAUUGUGAUUGAAUGAUUUAGUUCAGAUUGUUUCUAGUGGAAAUGCCACUUCUAUAAAUUGUUCCACAAAAUAUUUCCAUUUCUGUUAGCGAAAAUCAAGUGUUUUCUAGUACUUGGGGAAAAAAAUUCUUCAUUUCAAUGAGUAUUACUGCUUCAUGCAAUUGCAUGCUGUAAUACCUUUUAUUUAGCUGACUCGAAAGGUUGAGGAGAGGAUCAGGCUUUCAUUUCUUUCUGCUUCUGGUAAAGUUAAGAGUGAUACUUUCACCAAGGUUAAAGGAAAAAGCUUUUGAUCCACCUAAAUCAGGGGCCUACACCUGAAAACUUUCAAUUCACAGGAGUUCUGCUGUCAGCUGGAAAGUUAAAAUCCUGAGGUUCAUUGAUUCCUGUGACCCAUGUAAUAACCCCUUUCCUGAGAUGAUUAAGACAUGCAAAUAGUAUCUGACCCUCGUGUCUUCUUCAAGGUUUUCACACAGAGCCACUAAAAAGAUAUCAAAUAAACUGUUUUGAAAAGCUG